RNAcentral lists this transfer RNA (66 nucleotides) under Stenamma expolitum. RNAcentral describes it as "tRNA-Glu". The record is from RNAcentral. Lineage: Eukaryota; Metazoa; Arthropoda; Insecta; Hymenoptera; Formicidae.
AUAAAUAUAGUUUAAAAAAACCCUUAUAUUUUCAAUAUAAUAAUGAUAAAAAAUUAUCUAUUUAUU